Molecule: long non-coding RNA, 359 nt
Filed under: Eutrema salsugineum
Lineage: Eukaryota; Viridiplantae; Streptophyta; Magnoliopsida; Brassicales; Brassicaceae
Description: long non-coding RNA (ESAL_LNC001633)
Source: RNAcentral
UUCUUUCCAUUUAAAAAUUGUAACUUUUUGUUUUGUAUAACUUAUAUCAUUAAAAUGAAGGCAGAGUCUUACUCUUACAGGACCCAAAUCUUAUGAAACACUCAAUUUUAACCAAGCAAUACUUCUACCAUCCAUCACUUGCCGAACCUAUCAGACAGUAGAUGGCUGAGAAAGCGCGUAUGUGACUAACCCUACUUAGUUACUUGUCGCUGUCAAGGACUAGUAGAGUGCAAUUUCAAAAUCAUUUAGUAAGAUGGUUUUUUUUUUCUGUUAUAAAGAAAAUUGCACGCUUCUCCACUCGAACCCGCGGGACUCGUCAUGCACUCAUGCUAUAUGUUGACACCAAACCACGAUGCCAA